UUCCGGUUGAUCCUGCCGGAGGCUACCGCUAUUGGAGUUCGAUUAAGCCAUGCGAGUCUAGAGGCCUAGCCUCGGCGUACCGCUCAGUAACACGUGGGUAACCUACCCUAUGCUGGGGAAUAAGCUCGGGAAACUGAGAAUAAUACCCCAUAGUCCACUACGCCUGGAACGGUGAGUGGAUCAAAGCUCCGGCGGCAUAGGAUGGGCCUGCGGCGUAUCAGGUUGUAGGGGGUGUAAUGUACCCUCUAGCCAUCCACGCGUACGGGUGUUGGGAGACAUUGCCCGGAGAUGGAUUCUGAGACACGAAUCCAGACCCUACGGGGUGCAGCAGGCGCGAAAACUUGGCAAUGCGAGAAAUCGUGACCAGGGAACUCCAAGUGGCAGGGGUAAGACCCUGUCUUUUUCCGACUCUAAAUAGGUCGGCGAAUAAGGGGUGGGUAAGGACGGUGCCAGCCGCCGCGGUAAUACCGGCGCCUCAAGUGGUAGUCGCUUUUAUUGGGCCUAAAACGUCCGUAGCCGGUCUGGUACAUUCGUGGGUAAAUCAACUCGCUUAACGAGUUGAAUUCUGCGAGGACGGCCAGACUUGGGACCGGGAGAGGUGUGGGGUACUCUCAGGGUAGGGGUAAAAUCCUGUCAUCCUGAGAGGACCACCUGUUGCGAAGGCUCCACACUAGAACGGAUCCGACGGUCAGGGACGAAGCCUAGGGGCACGAACCGGAUUAGAUACCCGGGUAGUCCUAGGCGUAAACGCUGUGGACUUGAUGUUGGGGACGCUCCGAGCGUUCUCAGUGUCGAAGCGAAGGUGAUAAGUCCACUGCCUGGGGAGUACGGUCGCAAGGCUGAAACUUAAAGGAAUUGGCGGGGGAGCACCGCAACCUGAGGAUUGUGCGGUUUAAUUGGAUUCAACGCCGGA
This 913-nucleotide ribosomal RNA is filed under the name uncultured archaeon. Its description in RNAcentral is "bacterial SSU rRNA". It matches the Rfam family "Archaeal small subunit ribosomal RNA", at positions 1 to 922 of the family's 1478-position model. The record is from RNAcentral.